Molecule: long non-coding RNA, 4406 nt
Organism: Alligator mississippiensis (American alligator)
Lineage: Eukaryota; Metazoa; Chordata; Crocodylia; Alligatoridae
Exons: 3
Source: RefSeq, a predicted model, not a curated record
AUGGCUCAGUGUCUGCAAAUUUCUCAUCCUUAAAUUCCUCCCACCAUUUGUAUUGGUUAUGUUAGUUGCUCUGAGAUCUCUAUUUUAAAGACCGCAUUAGGGUCAGAUAGCUUGUUCUUCUACAUAACAGACUAAAGAGAUUUGCAUGGUAAUGUUUGUGUCAAGCCUGUGUAAUCCUUAUUGGCAUGCUAGGCCAGGCAAUAUGCCCGAUUCUGGAUCCUCAGGGUGCCAGUAGCUCUGGGAAACCCCUCAGGCAGGUCUGCUGACACCCUCACUGCCCAAGAAUUUACUUUAAGUCCAAUAAACAAAUGGGUUUCUUAAUUAUACACAACUAUAUACAGAAAAUAAAUGAUUAAUCGAGAGAAGAAACAUACAUAUAUGUAUAUAAUAUCAAUAGUUAAUAGUAAAACCAACAAUUUGAAUGGAGUUUACAACAGCAACAGUAAAUGAAUAAUUCCACCACACUAGGUGGUCCCACUUGCAUCAAACAGCCUCUAUGAUUUACAUUCACCUAGUUGUAACACUUUAAAACAGUUUCAUCCCCAUAACCCAGGUUGAUUUCCCUCUGGUUAGACUCCCCUUCCCAUAACAAUAAAUGGCAACGCAGCUUUAACUAUGAUCUACCAGUAGGUAUCAGAGGCAAGACUUCUGCGGCUCCGGGGAAGGUGGACUCUCUGCUCUUUUUUGGUAACUCAGCAAAAACAAGGCUCCAAUCAGCCACUGCAGGUAAUAGGUUUCUUUUCUUUAGUUUCCUUCUGAAAAAUACACCUCCUACGAAGUGUAGAGGUUAAGUGUUGCCUCACACACCCAUGCAGAUUUGGGAUUCUCGCAGCCUGCUCCCUCUCUGGGCUGUCUCUCUCCCACAGCACCUUCACAUGCAGACAGGGGAUUCCCUCUCCCAGCUAGCUUACCAACCCCUCUCCACUCUUUCCCUGGGUACCUGUGUCCCUGAUUGCACAGCCCUGACCUGGGUGGGAAAUCAGCUUCUCCUGGUGUGACUCAGGAUCCCCUCUGUCCAGAAGUCUGGUCCCCAACAAGCCUCAUCUCCAUUCCCUCUGUCUGGGGGAAGGAGGGGCUGAGUGUCUGCCCCUCUCUCCAGUCUGGUAUAGCUCUCCUGCCACUUCUCUCUCCACCUGCUUUUCCCUCCCUCAGCUUUUAUGGCUCCACAGUAGCCAGUCAGAGCCCGGAGUUUGCAAUGGGGGCUCUGGUUACAGUUCAAAUCUUCCAGUAAAAAGUGUACAUUGUGCACAGCAUACCUUCCAUUUGGAAAAGAUAUUGCACUCUCUGCAAACUUUUUGCCGCCUUUCUUGCAAAGUUCUUAGGCACAGCUCACCCACUCAGCUUGCAGCCAAGCGAGCCUUUGCAGAUGCUACACCUAUCACUUCUGAGCUUUGUUUCUGUCUUCCUAACAAUAUAUCCAGUCCUGGCAUGGGCCUGGCACAGGUCAGAAAAUUCAUUGCAUCCUCAGGGAUGUGGUUCCAUGUGCUAAACUGAAUUAAAAAGACAUGCACCUUGGUGGUUGUGUGAAACUGUCUCUAUCAGCUCCCAGCCAUUGGAUUUCAUUUGUUUCUGUCUUUUUGCUCCCAGUCACACCAAGACUCAUAGCUAAAUGGAGAUUAAUGCUAGGCUUGUGUUAAUGCUAGAUUCAAGGAGGGGAAUUAGCUACAAAUCUCCUCAUGCUGCAGUGACAACCCUAUAUUCCUAACCAGUUAAUCCAACCCAGGGACAACAGACAGAGCAUUUUUUUCCUUCUAGCUAGUGAGGAGCCUUAGGUCACAAACCCAUAAUACUUAAGAGUGGUUUAAAUGUGGUUUAAACCUAGAGAGCUUUACAGUGGUUUAAGUGUGGUUUAAAUCUGAGGAGGACAGCCAUGCACGCCUGUUAAACCAAUUUAAAUCCAUCUGGAAUGGUUAAAAAAUGUACCUGAAAAAUCAAGUACUAUUUUCAACUUGUUCGCUAUGAACCAGUUUAGUCUCAUGUGUGGACUCCAAGUGUGCCAUGACACAGGACAAGUCAGUCCUCUAGGCAACCCACAUUGCAUUGCUUCUCCCCUCCCACCCCCUGCCCCCGACCACAUACCUACCCCAACCCACCCACCAGAACUCAAUUGUAUGUCUGUCUGCACCCUUAAUUACUGUUCUCUCUCCCUCUUAUGAACCUCUUCAGGAAAGAUAUUUACAGGAAGGUUUCCUUGCAUAGCUCUAAGUUGUAAGAUGCUUCCUGAGCCCACAGGUGGAGGUGUCUUCUGUGACUUGGAUCCGUGCUGUUAAACCAUGUAUAUUUUGAAAAGGAGAGCGGGAACGAGAGAAAGCCGAGGAGACCAUUGUGCUGUCUGUUACUUUUUUGGAAGCUAGCACAGGUUUCCCUCUCUUUUAAGACAGUUUCUCAAAGAGGAAAAGGCUGGUGCCUGGAGUGCAGUGUGGGCUAAAAUGUUUGCCUGACCCGGCUGGCCUCCUCCCAUCCCCAGCAGCAUGUGAGAACCCAGUUUCAGCUGCAUACUGCUCCAAAUGGAACAGACCUACCUGGGUCAGCACCAGCUAGCAGAGGCGGUGGCGGAGCCGUGUGCCACUCGGGACUGACCAGCGCAGGUAGGGGAAAGUGCAGCUGAGCCCCCUGCUGCUCUGGCUGGGCUCAUCCUGUCCCAAGAGGCACGUGGUUACUCCUCUUCCCACACGCACCGCGUCGGCAACGUCAAGCUGACGCGGUGUGUGUGGGAACUUUGUCCCUUCCCUAGCCCUUCAGCAGCCAUUAGGAAGCUGCUGAGGGGCUGGGGGAGGGACAAGGGGUGGGAAUGAAAGUAAACCGUGUUUACUUUUGUUUCCCGUUGCAGCACCGCAGGCCACAGAAAAUGCCUUGGUGGGCCGCAUGGCGGUCCACGGGACGUAUGUUGGACAAGCCUGUUCUAGAGGUUGCACAACAUGGUUGUCUCAUGUGUAGGGCUUGUUGGGAAGCCCCAAUAGACCUCUCCCACUGCAGACAUUGAGCACUGUAGGGCCGCACGUGGUGGGAGAGACAGCCAGUACCUUGAGUGAAGGUAUCUGAAUUGGGCCUGUAGCAAAAGGUAAACUGAUGAUUGAUGUGUGUAAAAACUUUAUUUGCCCUGUUUUGAAAAGGAAAUGCUAUCAAGUCAGUCCUUUAAAAACCAGAGCCACCUAUCCUUAGUCCUGCUACGUUUGGAUGAUAGUGGCUAUUUUAAUGUUGCGAUUGCUUCUAAACUAGCACAUUUUGAAUUCCUUCUUACUUGUCUGCUUAAGGAAUGAAAAGCUACAUGUGUGUUUAAGUGCCUUUCCCCCCCUCCCUCCACUUUUUUGAGGUAGAGUACCAAGAUGGGAAAAAAGUACAACUCCCUCAACUGAUAGAAAAUGAGCAAGGUCAUAAAAUGCAUGCAUAGCUUUGCUGUCACAGCUGAAAGGUGUGGGGCAGGGGGGCAAGGAACAAACCUUUGACUCAAUAUUUAGGAGAAGAUUGUUUGUACCAAUAAUCAGAGCAUGGCUCCUGUAGUCUUGGGUUCCCCCUCUCAGGGCACAUCUACACAUUCAUUAAUAUGCAGUAGUUACUGCACAUUUAGUUUAGUACUUGCUUAAUAAAGUACUAACUAAAUACACAGUAACUAUAGUUACUACACAGUAGUACUGGUGCAGUUUUCUUGUGAUGCUUACUGUGCAGUAGCCUAUUAGCAUGGUUUUUGACUGUCACACUACUGCACAGUGUUAUUAGGCUACUGCUCAGCGAGCAUCUCAUGUAGACGUACCUGCAGAGAGCUAACAUGGCCUAAACUAGGAGAUCAAGUAGGUCCCUUUGAACGAUGCAAGAAAGACCUGCUGUGCUGUGAUCCACAGUGAGACACACACACAUGCACAUGCUCACACUCUCUCUCAUGAAACCAAUAAUUAGUCAACCACUUAAUUUGUCUGAAAUUGUGCAGGGAGCAUGCAAACUGCUUACACAUUUUUUCCACUGAAAUUUGCAAAUGGAUGAAAAAUAAUCGGUGUUAGCCAAAUGUCCAUUGAGCAGUCACACCAUUGCCAUAUAGCCAGAGAGCUAUGCAUGCUCAGACCAGCUUGCUGGAAAUGUUUCUCCCCAUUCUGGUGUGUGCUACUGGUCUUUCUCUUGCACCUGCCCUUUUCUCUUUCUCCUUUCUGGUGGUGGGGGAUAGGGAUGAAUAUUUGAGUGAGUUGAUGUCUAUGUGCACACAUGAGACAGGGUGAGGGUGGUCCAUAACCACCAUUAUCACCCUUCAACUUUUAUUCCAGCUGAUUUUCAAAAUAUUGCUUUAAUGCAUCCUAGGCUUAGUGCCAAAUGUACGUGUUGACUUUGUGCUGAGCUAACCAAGUGUUCUUCCUGCUUACUCCUAGCAUGUACCUCAGGGGGGCAAAACAGUGGAUCUGGCUGGCGGCUGGACUCCA